GAUGAAUUGAAUCAUAACACCAUAAUUAGAGACACCCAGAUAGGAAAUAACAAAAAAGCAAAUCAAACACCAAGGAAUGAACUCAUUCACAACACCAGAAAGAAUUACUUUUCACAUUAAUUUUUUUCUAAAAGUUUGGAGUACAGGAAACCUAUCAAAGAACAGAGGACCAUUGACAACAUCACCAACAAUCUUGAUCAAUCGUACCCCUAGUUACAGAGACAGAGCCUUAUCAACACUCAUCUAAAGCAGCAACCCAGUGAAAGUUAAAGCCCCAAUACCUACAAAUCUCCAGAAACCCAAUGAAUAAAGGAGCCUCAUUUUCCAGGUCGCCACUCAGAAAUCCAAUCUUCGGUUCUUCACAGUAUACCCCUACCUACAGUCCUACAUUGACAUUAACUGAGCCAUAUCUACAGAACUCACAGUAAAACUCCGCAACAUCUGAGAGAAAUCAACGCCCCAAAACUUCAAAUCGCUCCAAACCCAGAAAUGAAGGAGUUGCCACUUUGAAAAAUCGGAACUUGAAUUAAAUAACAUAGCCAUUAGAACCUAAAAUCCACAAUGCCUGAUUGCCUGCAUCAAAAUUCUCCACCUUCUUCACCUUGUUGUAAAUCAGGCCUGGGUAACCAGAAAAGGGUAACUUUCAAUCAAAGACUCAAGAACAUGACUUUCUUGAUGAACUCUAGAACAAGAAGAAAAGAGAAGUCCAAGAAGCAAACUUACAGGCUUGUGGAAUUGAGUUUGGCCUCAAGAAGAUCACCCACUGGAUUGCUGAAAACUGGAAAAGGGUUCUGAAAAAUCCCCUGUUUCUUCUUCUUCUUCUUCUGGGUUGGAUUCUUUCAGGUUGUCCUUGGACCCUCUUGGCCUUCCUGUUAUUCUUUCUCUUGAUGGAAUUUGGUUUGGGCUUCUUGAUUGCACACCUGCCGCUCUUUGUCAGCUCCGUCGUGAUGGUCAUGAUGGACGGUGGACUAGUUUGUGCUUUGCGGAAAGAACAGAGGUCUUGUGAGGAAGAAGAGAGUUUUGGCAGGAACAAUUACAAAGGAGGGUUAAGAGGUAGAGAGAGAGAAUCAAAGAGAGUUGGGUCAGGUUUGAGAGAGAAUCGGAUUGAAGAGAGAAAUGAGUUUUGAGAGUGAAUUGAAAGAUUACAAAGGGGAGAGCGAGAGGAGGCGGGAAGUAGCUAACUGAAAGAUAACGGAAACUCUUCGGCUUCGU
Molecule: long non-coding RNA, 1212 nt
Filed under: Fragaria vesca (wild strawberry)
Lineage: Eukaryota; Viridiplantae; Streptophyta; Magnoliopsida; Rosales; Rosaceae
Description: long non-coding RNA (FVES_LNC000476)
Source: RNAcentral